Molecule: long non-coding RNA, 2091 nt
Organism: Cygnus atratus (black swan)
Lineage: Eukaryota; Metazoa; Chordata; Aves; Anseriformes; Anatidae
Exons: 3
Source: RefSeq, a predicted model, not a curated record
GCAUGAGACAAGGGCAGCCACACAGCACAGACUGGGGCCAGAUCCUGACAGAUGCAUAGGUCUUGAAGGUGUCUCAGGAUCUGUAUGAGGUAACCCCUCUGGAGAUGGUUCACUGAGAUGGGAGAUGGAGGAGGAGCAGAGACAGCUUCAGUGAUGUGGAUCCCAGCCCCAUGGCCACCAGAUGCAACACAUCCUGUCAUGAGCCAUCGGAUCUCCAGGAUAUGAUCCAUUGGCAUAUGAGGAUUACGCCUUUUACACAGAGGACUUAAAAAAAGCUUUGUCAUUGUGCUAACAGAGGUCUCAGGACAGCAGCCCGUGUUAGCAGUGCUUGGCUGGACUGACAACCUUCGGCUGGAAGAGAUCCACUUAUCUUCUGUGUCGCGGACCCCAAGCACCCCCACCCCGCUCCAGCUUCACUCUGUGCACUUGUCAGGAUGAGCACUUGGGUGAGGGAGGAUCUCGAGCACCUUUUCAUGUGGAAACACCGUGAAAAAGAGGUGGCCUACAAGAGCUGAGGAACCUGGCAGCUCUGCAGCCUGCCCGGGGUGACCAGCCAGGGCUCAGCACCGGGGCAGAGCUGCAGCGCUGGUGACUUUGUUCUGUCUUUGCUCCGUGACAGGGAUGAUGCAAAUGCCUGUUUUGUGUGGAAUUUGGGGCCUUUUUUUCCUUCCCAAUAUCUUCUGAAUUUGUUUAAAUAUUGGGGGCUGCAAGGAGGGGGCAGAGUUAAGGGGAAGAAGAGUUAGAGGUGGGAUUUUUAAAGCCUUUUUUAUUUCCUACUAGGUAAAUAUAGAUUACUAAAAGAGUGGCAGAAAAUGAACUUGCCAGACCAAGGGCAAUAGAACAGAAGAUUAAUUUCUUGAUCAGAUAACACUGACCUUACCACACAGACUGAAAAGCAUGCUGCCUUACACCACUCGGGCAUCUGGUCAGGGCCUUUGUGCUCAGAUCCCUUACCCAGGGCUGACUGGUGUGUUCCUCAGCUCCCCAGGUAUAUGGCACACAGCAAUGUGCACUGCUGAAAUGAAUAUACACAUUGGUGGAAAAGGUGCUGGAGGGUGUGCCUUGCUUUUGCCUUCAGGUACAGUUGUUGGCAAAGAACCUUUUAUUCUUAUAUGCUGAAAAAGACCAAGACCAAACAAUAUUUUAUAUACACAUACACAUACAUAUAUAAAAAUUAUAUAAAUAUAUAAGCAUAUAAAUAUGAUGAGCAUGCAUCUAUAUGCACACAAGCACACAACACGCUCUACGUCAAUAUAAAGUGCAUGUAAAAUGCUUGCAUGCAUGGCUACAAACUACCUUCUUUGUAUUUUUUCUGUAAAUUGAGCACUUUUUCCAGGUGAAUUAGAAACCUUCCUGCGUGUCUGUCUGUCUGUCUGAGGCAGGAGAGCAGGGACUGCAGGAGAGUUUCUGGAAGUCAAAGCCUGCAAGUGAGUUUUCUGCACUGUUAACGUUGUGCCUCUCUCUUGCUUGGGUUGAUGCUGACAUCUGGAGGCUGUGCCGCAGCAGUGUGUGCACACGUAUUUAUGGCUUUUUGCACAUCUUUAUGGCUGCGUGCAGUUAUUUCCACGUGGCAUUUUGUUCAUUUUCAUGGCCAUGCCAUGUAAGAAGCACCAUUUAGCUAUCCUGCUAUGCGAGGGUGAUUUGACCGCAGAGCAUUCCUAAUCAUCUGGAUAUAUUUGCUGAAGUCCUGUUGCUGAUUUGGGUAGUGUUUAGCAUGUGUAUACCGGUUCCCUGCAUUAGUAACAUCUGCUCGUGACCUGGACAGCAAACACGAUCCCAGGCUCGAAUACAACAGGUCUGGAUGCAAGGCAAACCUUGAUCUGACCCAGUUAAAGAGUUGGGAAAAAGUGAGGCAGUAUUGCAGAUGACGGAAAAUGGACUUAUUGUUUCAGCUGACAGAUAUUUGGAGCAUCACUGAUGUCCACAGGGGGGGUUCACCUACAGUGCAGGCUGUCUUACAGUGCUGACCCCCAAAAUGAGCCCAUAUCCAUAAUCCCACAUGGAAGAGUGUUCUGCUUUUCCUUCUCCUGUGCCACCUCCCUGUGCCACGCUGUCACCAUGUGUGAUGGAUGGGCCUGGUGCUGGGGUGAA